GACGAACGCUGGCGGCGUGCUUAACACAUGCAAGUCGAACGGAAAGGCCCUGCUUUUGUGGGGUGCUCGAGUGGCGAACGGGUGAGUAACACGUGAGUAACCUGCCCUUGACUUUGGGAUAACUUCAGGAAACUGGGGCUAAUACCGGAUAGGAGCUCCUGCUGCAUGGUGGGGGUUGGAAAGUUUCGGCGGUUGGGGAUGGACUCGCGGCUUAUCAGCUUGUUGGUGGGGUAGUGGCUUACCAAGGCUUUGACGGGUAGCCGGCCUGAGAGGGUGACCGGCCACAUUGGGACUGAGAUACGGCCCAGCCUCCUACGGGAGGCAGCAGUGGGGAAUAUUGCACAAUGGGCGGAAGCCUGAUGCAGCAACGCCGCGUGCGGGAUGACGGCCUUCGGAUUGUAAACCGCUUUCGCCUGUGACGAAGCGUGAGUGACGGUAAUGGGUAAAGAAGCACCGGCUAACUACGUG
This 468-nucleotide ribosomal RNA is filed under the name uncultured bacterium. RNAcentral describes it as "partial 16S ribosomal RNA". It matches the Rfam family "Bacterial small subunit ribosomal RNA", at positions 28 to 507 of the family's 1533-position model. The record is from RNAcentral.